Molecule: ribosomal RNA, 588 nt
Filed under: Triticum aestivum (bread wheat)
Lineage: Eukaryota; Viridiplantae; Streptophyta; Magnoliopsida; Poales; Poaceae
Description: partial small subunit ribosomal RNA
Source: RNAcentral
AUGCCUCCUAUGGUCCACUGUGAUCUGAAGCCUAGCAAUGUCCUUCUGGAUGAUGUCAUGGGCGCAUGUGUCGGUGACUUUGGGUUGGCUAAGUUCCUACAUGGUUAUUCUUCUUCUUCUGGGAUAGAUGGUUCUACUUGUACAAGCUUAGUGGGGCCAAGAGGAUCAGUUGGAUACAUUGCACCAGAAUAUGGCUAUGGAAGCAAAAUCUCGACGGAGGGUGAUGUUUACAGCUAUGGAGUCAUCAUCUUAGAGAUGCUCACAGGGAAGCGUCCAACUGAUGAGUUGUUUAAAGAUGGCCUGAGCCUCUACAAAUUUGUGGAAGAUUCAUUUCCUGAAAAGAUUGGGGAGAUUCUAGAUCCUAGAAUGAUCAUCCCCUAUUAUGGGAACCGAGAUGAAGAAGAAGCAGGCAGUUCUUCAGACCAGGAAAAUCAUCAAAUUGCUGCUGGAAUAAUGGGCUGCAUCACAGCUCUUGCUAAGCUUGGCUUGCUGUGCGCUGCGGAGACGCCUAAAGAUCGCCCAGCAAUGCAGGACGUCUACGCUGAUGCCAUCACAAUCAAAGAAGAAUUUUCAGCACUGCAGGGCUGA